AGUGAACGCUGGCGGUAGGCCUAACACAUGCAAGUCGAACGGCAGCACAGUAAGAGCUUGCUCUUACGGGUGGCGAGUGGCGGACGGGUGAGGAAUACAUCGGAAUCUACUUUUUCGUGGGGGAUAACGUAGGGAAACUUACGCUAAUACAGCAUACGCCCUACGGGUGAAAGCAGGGGAUCUUCGGACCUUGCGCGAUUGAACGAGCCGAUGUCGGAUUAGUUAGUUGGCGGGGUAAAGGCCCACCAAGGCGACGAUCCGUAGCUGGUCUGAGAGGAGGGUCAGCCACACUGGAACUGAGACACGGUCACUGCGCCUACGGGAGGCAGCAGUGUGGAAUAUUGGGCAAUGGGCGCAAGCCUUAUCCAGCCAUACAGCGUGUGAUAAGAAGGCCUUCGGGUUGUAAAGCCCUUUUGUUGGGAAAGAAAAUCAGCAGGUUAAUACCCCGCUGUUCUGACGGUACCCAAAGAAUAAGCGCCGGCUAACUUCGUG
This 492-nucleotide ribosomal RNA is filed under the name uncultured bacterium. RNAcentral's name for it is "partial 16S ribosomal RNA". It matches the Rfam family "Bacterial small subunit ribosomal RNA", at positions 29 to 507 of the family's 1533-position model. The record is from RNAcentral.